This is a long non-coding RNA of Acipenser ruthenus (sterlet), 3511 nucleotides long. RefSeq lists it as uncharacterized. Lineage: Eukaryota; Metazoa; Chordata; Actinopteri; Acipenseriformes; Acipenseridae. The transcript is spliced from 2 exons. The record is from RefSeq and is a predicted model, not a curated record.
GGGGCCGCCCCCCCCCCACAGCGUCACGGAUUGCCUCGCUCCCCGGUCGACAGAAACGUUAACUUUAACAAUCCCAGCAGCCCCCUUUCUUUAUGCUCAUUGGUCGGGCUGGGAGGAGGAGGAGCCAGCCAGCUGUCGCCCAACGCCAAGGAGUUUGUCUACCCAGAAUCCUCCACUUCCUCGUCCUCCUCCUCCGCAGACGGCGCCCUCUUCAGCUUCGGAGGGGAAGUGCAAUUUCAACAACCCCAGACCAGUUUCUACCCUUUUAACAGUGCUGAGGUGUCCAGAGGAUUCUUUCUGGAGAAGACCCCCUUUGUCGACGGGAUGGGGUACAGCUUGAGCCCCCACGCUGCGCCCCUGUACCCCAGCCAGCCCUUCCAGCAACCUGUCGUCUUGGCGAAUUAAUUCGUUAAUUUUUUUUUAAAAAAUACAUUAUUUUUUUGUUAUAAUACAGCAGUGUGAUCCAGUCCUGGUUUCACUAGGAGUUUAAUAAUAAGACACACCUGAGCUUGUUAGCUAGACACGCUGGGGGCUGAUCAAGCUGGUAGCAGUAAAACCUGGACUGGAUCACACUGCUGUGCGAUAGGAGUCUGAUUCCCAGCCCUGAUCUCUCUGUCUAAAUAUCCCACAGUUCCCAGCAAUAUCCUGUAGCUCUCUUCACUAUAAAAUCAGCUACAAACCUCCUUCAACCAAAGUCUAUCUACAGGGCUGGGAAUCAGACUCCCGCUGCACAGCAGUGUGAUCCAGUCCUGGUUUCACUAGGAGUUUAAUAAUCAGACACACCUGAGCUUGUUACCUGUGAAGGCACUAGAGCCCCAAACUAGAGCUGGUCUGCUGGACUCAGUUUAGUUUCAAUCACGCUGAUGAAGGCACUAGAGCCCCAAACUAGAGCUGGUCUGCUGGACUCAGUUUAGUUUCAAUCACGCUGAUGAAGGCACUAGAGCCCCAAACUAGAGCUGGUCUGCUGGACUCAGUUUAGUUUCAAUCACGCUGAUGAAGGCACUAGAGCCCCACACUAGAGCUGGUCUGCUGGACUCAGUUUAGUUUCAAUCACGCUGAUGAAGGCACGAGAGCCCCAAACUAGAGCUGGUCUGCUGGACUCAGUUUAGUUUCAAUCACGCUGAUGAAGGCACUAGAGCCCCAAACUAGAGCUGGUCUGCUGGACUCAGUUUAGUUUCAAUCACGCUGAUGAAGGCACUAGAGCCCCAAACUAGAGCUGGUCUGCUGGACUCAGUUUAGUUUCAAUCACGCUGAUGAAGGCACUAGAGCCCCAAACUAGAGCUGGUCUGCUGGGCUCAGUUUUUCUUCUUAUUGUUAUUAAUGAUUAUUAUUUACUUUAAGAACAUUUUGCUUUUUUUGAGAUUUUGAUUUUCAUAAGGAACAAAAGUUAUAUUUUCUAAGAAUAUAUAGAAAUAUAUAAAAAAAUUAAAUUAUGUGUAAUUAUAAUAUAUAUAUAUAUAUUAUAUAGAGAGUAGUUAAACACUCGUACCCUUUGUUUGCCUUUAAGAGUAAUUAAAGUAUUAAACAAAUCCAUUCAUCGCUAUUUGAUUGGCGCUCGAUUGUAAAGGUGAGGGAAGGACGGCUUUUUAAAAGUUAAUCGCUGUCUCUUGGUACUCGAUUGUAAAGGUGAGGGAAGGACGGCUUUUCUUUUCUUGUUUUUAAGUUAAUCCCCGUCGCUUGGUACUCGAUUGUAAAGGUGAGGGAAGGACGACUUUUCUUUUCUUGUUUUGAAGUUAAUCCCCGUCUCUUGGCGCUCGAUUGUAAAGGUGAGGGAAGGACGGCUUUUCUUUUCUUGUUUUGAAGUUAAUCCCCGUCGUUUGGUACUCGAUUGUAAAGGUGAGGGAAGGACGGCUUUUCUUUUCUUGUUUUGAAGUUAAUCGCCGUCGCUUGGCAGUCGAUUGUAAAGGUGAGGGAAGGACGGCUUUUCUUUUCUUGUUUUGAAGUUAAUCCCCGUCGCUUGGUGCUCGAUUGUAAAGGUGAGGGAAGGACGGCUUUUCUUUUCUUGUUUUGAAGUUAAUCCCCGUCGCUUGGCAGUCGAUUGUAAAGGUGAGGGAAGGACGGCUUUUCUUUUCUUGUUUUUGAAGUUAAUCCCCGUCGCUUGGUACUCGAUUGUAAAGGUGAGGGAAGGACGGCUUUUCUUUUCUUGUUUUGAAGUUAAUCCCCGUCUCUUGGUACUCGAUUGUAAAGGUGAGGGAAGGACGGCUUUUCUUUUCUUGUUUUGAAGUUAAUCCCCGUCUCUUGGUACUCGAUUGUAAAGGUGAGGGAAGGACGGCUUUUCUUUUCUUGUUUUGAAGUUAAUCCCCGUCUCUUGGCGCUCGGUUGUAAAGGUGAGGGAAGGACGGCUUUUCUUUUCUUGUUUUGAAGUUAAUCCCCGUCUCUUGGUACUCGAUUGUAAAGGUGAGGGAAGGACGGCUUUUCUUUUCUUGUUUUGAAGUUAAUCCCCGUCUCUUGGCGCUCGGUUGUAAAGGUGAGGGAAGGACGGCUUUUCUUUUCUUGUUUUGAAGUUAAUCCCCGUCGCUUGGCGCUCGAUUGUAAAGGUGAGGGAAGGACGGCUUUUCUUUUCUUGUUUUGAAGUUAAUCUCCGUCGCUUGGUACUCGGUUGUAAAGGUGAGGGAAGGACGACUUUUCUUUUCUUGUUUUGAAGUUAAUCCCCGUCGCUUGGUACUCGAUUGUAAAGGUGAGGGAAGGACGGCUUUUCUUUUCUUGUUUUGAAGUUAAUCCCCGUCGUUUGGUGCUCGAUUGUAAAGGUGAGGGAAGGACGGCUUUUCUUUUCUUGUUUUGAAGUUAAUCCCCGUCGCUUGGCACUCGAUUGUAAAGGUGAGGGAAGGACGACUUUUCUUGUUUUUGAAAUGAACUUGUUAAUUAAUUAAUAUAUAGUUCUUAAAGGCAAUUGCAAGUAUUUGGCACAGCCCUCGUGUGUGCGUGCGUGCGUGUGCGUGUCUGCGUGUGUGUGUGUGCGUGUCUGCGUGUGUGUGUGUGUGUAUAUAUAUGCAACGAUAUGGAAGAUUACAGUGUAAGUGAACUGUGUAUGAAUCUAAGAACAAAAUCUAACUGAUCUAUUUAUUAAAUAAUAUAAUUUAAUAUACUCCAAGAAGGAGGAAAGUCUGUGGGAGAGAAUUUUAUUUAAUUUUUUUUAAAUUUCGAUGCAGUACAAUAUAUAUCUAUAUAUAUAUAUAUACUGAAAGAAUUAAAAACAGAUUUGAGAAAAGAAAAAAAAAAUGAAGGAAAACAAUUAUUAUUAUUAUUAUUAUUAUUAUUAUUAUUAUUAUUAUUAUUAUUAUUAUUAUUAUUAUUAUUAUUAUUAUUAAUGGGGGGUAAAGAGAAAACAAAAAUGAAGUUAUGCAAAAAUGUAAAAAACGAAAAAUGAUUCCAAAUCUUCCGAGCUGGGAACAGCUACACAAACAUGAGUCUGUUACUGACGUGCAAAUCUCUCCUUUCUAUUUUGUCUUUGACCGUUUUUUUAAGUUUGUAUUAAAAGAAGUAAAAAUAAAAAGCAUGACAUACAUUUAAA